This 497-nucleotide ribosomal RNA is filed under the name uncultured bacterium. RNAcentral's name for it is "partial 16S ribosomal RNA". It matches the Rfam family "Bacterial small subunit ribosomal RNA", at positions 28 to 507 of the family's 1533-position model. The record is from RNAcentral.
GAUGAACGCUGGCGGCGUGCCUAAUACAUGCAAGUCGAGCGAACGGACGAGAAGCUUGCUUCUCUGAUGUUAGCGGCGGACGGGUGAGUAACACGUGGAUAACCUACCUAUAAGACUGGGAUAACUUCGGGAAACCGGAGCCAAUACUGGAUAAUAUUUUGAACCGCAUGGUUCAAAAGUGAAAGACGGUCUUGCUGUCACUUAUAGAUGGAUCCGCGCUGCAUUAGCUAGUUGGUAAGGUAACGGCUUACCAAGGCAACGAUGCAUAGCCGACCUGAGAGGGUGAUCGGCCACACUGGAACUGAGACACGGUCCAGACUCCUACGGGAGGCAGCAGUAGGGAAUCUUCCGCAAUGGGCGAAAGCCUGACGGAGCAACGCCGCGUGAGUGAUGAAGGUCUUCGGAUCGUAAAACUCUGUUAUUAGGGAAGAACAUAUGUGUAAGUAACUGUGCACAUCUUGACGGUACCUAAUCAGAAAGCCACGGCUAACUACGUG